RNAcentral lists this long non-coding RNA (1075 nucleotides) under Androctonus crassicauda. Lineage: Eukaryota; Metazoa; Arthropoda; Arachnida; Scorpiones; Buthidae. The record is from RNAcentral.
GGUCAAUCUGCCUUCCUUAUCGAUGGAUCUAUUUUUUUGAUCUUUAUGUCACGUUAUGUUAAACACAGAUUUUGAUUUGAUAUUCAAGACACGAUAUGCAAAAAUUGUGCCGUUUUGCAUUUAUUUCAAUUAUUGAGAUUUAUAACCGGUGAUGUGUUUUGAAUCGGAAAGAUCGUAUCGCUCAAACACGGUAGUCGUAUGAUCUCUCUCUCUCUCUCUCGGUCAUGUUCUGUUUCAAACAGCUCGAAAUAAUCAAGAAAUUUCAAGAUAAUUACGUUCAACAGUCGAUAAAAUCUGUCCGGUUAAUUGUAAAUUCGGGGAGAGAUCCACAUUAAAAAUGGAGAGUUUUUUAAAAAAAUUUUUUGCCGGCGAGAAGAAUUUUUUUUUUUAUUUUAUUUCCGUCUGGAAGAUGUCGAGCGUAACGAAAUUUUGUGUCAUUCGAUUUGACAUUGAGGAAAUUGGUUUUAAUUGUGAAAACCGGCUGGCAUCACGUGAUGGCGCAACAAUUUAUCCGUUGAAAAUGGUUGAAGGCAUUAAUCACUUUUAUCGGCAUUAAAAAUAGUUAGCGUGUUGCUUUUAAUUGCCAGAUUAAAACUCUCUCUCCGUUUAUGUGCAGCGUGUUUCGCCUGUUUGUUCGUCUUGUAAUGUUGGUUUCGUCCGAUCGUUUCUGCUAACGGGAAUUUUCUUGACAAAUAAUUAAUUUGCCAACACCAACUUGAAUAAAAUUGGAAUCGCGGAAGUAUUGUUGCGCCUAUUUUUGUCCCCUUUUUUUAUCAUAUUGUAGAUUUUUAUUCUGUUAUCUCUGGUUUCUUAUUCACGUUCUCGGUCACCUUUAGUCAUUGUCCCUGGUGAUUUGCACACGGAAUCAGUUUUCUCCGACUAUAAUAACAUUUCUUAUUGUAUGCUAACGUUGAACAAAUGUUUUUUCUUUUUUUUCCUUUCCUGUUUUUUGUUAACUAAUUCUUUUUUAAAGAAAAUUCUAUAUAUCCGCGUAAAUAUCGUCAUCCAGUUUUUCUGCAUUAAAUUUUCAUUAAUAUACUGCAGUUUUUUUUUUUUGUCGGUAAGUUUUGGCACG